RNAcentral lists this ribosomal RNA (253 nucleotides) under uncultured bacterium. Its description in RNAcentral is "partial 16S ribosomal RNA". It matches the Rfam family "Bacterial small subunit ribosomal RNA", at positions 524 to 776 of the family's 1533-position model. The record is from RNAcentral.
UACAGAGGGGGCAAGCGUUAUUCGGAAUUAUUGGGCGUAAAGGGCGCGUAGGCGGCUUUUCAAGUGGCGGGUGAAAUCCCUCGGCUUAACCGAGGAACUGCCUGCCAGACUGAAUGGCUUGAGACCGGGAGAGGUGAGUGGAAUUCCCAGUGUAGCGGUGAAAUGCGUAGAUAUUGGGAGGAACACCAGUGGCGAAGGCGGCUCACUGGACCGGUACUGACGCUGAGGCGCGAAAGCGUGGGGAGCAAACAGG